GUUAUGCCUUGGGUCAACCGUUGAUCGGCCCGCUGCCAUCGGACCCAAGCAAGUUGUUGGUCGGUGCGUUGCCGCUGGCAAGUUU
This 85-nucleotide transfer RNA is filed under the name Stieleria neptunia. Its description in RNAcentral is "Planctomycetes bacterium Enr13 tRNA-Gly". Lineage: Bacteria; Pseudomonadati; Planctomycetota; Planctomycetia; Pirellulales; Pirellulaceae. The record is from RNAcentral.